This is a regulatory RNA element of Clostridium disporicum, 117 nucleotides long. It matches the Rfam family "FMN riboswitch aptamer (RFN element)". Rfam says of the family: The RFN element is a highly conserved domain that is found frequently in the 5'-untranslated regions of prokaryotic mRNAs that encode for flavin mononucleotide (FMN) biosynthesis and transport proteins. The record is from Rfam. Lineage: Bacteria; Bacillati; Bacillota; Clostridia; Eubacteriales; Clostridiaceae.
AAUUAUCUUCAGGGCAGGGUGUAAUUCCCUACCGGCGGUAUAGCCCGCGAGCUCGAAAGAGUAUGAUUCGGUGAAACUCCGAAGCCGACAGUAAAGUCUGGAUGAAAGAAGGUAGUA